GAAAUGCACAGAUUUCCAAGAGUUGAAAAAAUUCGACUUUUGGCCAGCUUUUUUCGAUUCUAGCCCACUGUGCAACGCGGGAGAGAAGUGCUUUGCUUUGACGUAACAAAGCACAGCAAACCUCCGCAAAGCGCGCUCCGCUGUGACAACAUUCACACUCGGUGAAAGGGGUGAAGCAUCUAAAAAGAGAGCAUCCCUUACAAUGAUGAACGGCGGCGGUGUAAACGUCGGCGGGCGUUAUUUCCGGUGGAAUCUGAAUCGCGGCACGUUUCGCUGCCGCGUAAAAUGCAAAAUCGAGAUGCAAAAUCCGAAAGCUCAGAUUUAGCGAUUUGCAUAUUUAAUGGACUCUGUCAAACUGCACGUCGAAGCGCGGCAGAAAUUAUUUAUUAUUAGUUCAAGACAAGUGCGCAUCGAUCUUGCUCAAAUGGAGAAUAACAAAGAUUUUCUUGGCUCAACUUUUUCGCUCGGCAUUUAUCGUAUUUACGGACGAUGCUAAACUGGGAUAUAACGCGAAACAAAGAGAGGUUUUAAGAGGCUUUCCUGCAUGCGGAAAACAGAGAGUGACAUCAUUAUCACAGCGCGCUAAUAUUUUCGCUCCGCAUUGUCGCUAUUCUUGCGAAUAUAAACGUGGAUUUUUACGUUCUCGCGUUUCAUUUCGCAUUUGUAUUCUCCCUCGGCUGCUACUUUCGCGAAGUAUUUAUUAUUCUUCCUGUACGGCGUCAUUUUGAUAACCUUUCCUUACAAAUAGUUAUUUUUCCACUAGUUAUCAAAGCGCGGGUCAUUGGAGCGUGACAUUUUUCGAGUCACGGGCAAAUAUUAAUUUUACUUACGCAUUUGAAUUAUCGUCAUACAUAUUAUGCGUGUAGCCACGCUUCCUUGAUAAUAUUAUUAACGAUAUACAGUACGGUAUCGCGAACCAUAUGAAAUGUCACGUUAAAUUUUUCGCAGCAGUGAGCGCAAUCGUGCCGCUAAUUAACACAAUGUCCUUUUAAUCGUUACUCUGCGAUUUUACUUCGCUUCUGUUCAAGAGCAUCUUAAGCACCAUUGUAAUUGCAUCGACGGAGUGCUAUGUAACAAGAGCAAAUCAGAUUUCAUCCAAUUUCGAAAUUCCUCGUCGAAGAGGAAUCAUGAAAAAAAAGGAUAGAAUAGAAUAGAAGGGAAGAGGAAUUGACACGUAUCACGAUUCUUAAUCAAGUUCACGUUGAUUAAUAGUCCUGCUGUCGAUUACAAAUGUAACCGUGCAUCCUUUCCUCUGUCCUUCUAUUCCUCUUUCUCUCGCCUUCCCCUCUGUUUUUCCCUUCGUUCUCCAACUUCUCUCUUGUCCCGACAAACACAAAGCAACGAGAUCAAUGAUAAAUAGAUACUGCCGCCUUCUCUGUGCUCGGAGCGAUUUCGCUCGAAUACACUGUGAGAUGAAACAGACGGUUGUUUCAUGCACAACACGUUGAUUCGAUGCAUUACGCUGUACGCAGAUGUUACAGCGACAUCCAGUUAAUUAUCUCUCUCUUUCGCGCUGAGAAUAAAUUAUUCACGGAUGAAUAAACAGUCAAUCAGUUAAAAUUUUAAUUUUUAAGUUUUAAUUUUUCUGCCAAUUCUUUUCUACUCCCGGCCACCGUUGUCAGGAUCAGCUACUCUGGUAUGCCAGAGCAGUGUCCGCGAUUUAAAAAAUAUGAAUUUCGAUUAAAAUAGAUUAGAUGCAAAUACUUUGCAUCCUCUCGAAUUAAGUUUUCUCCCGGAAGGAUACCUCAACUCGAAGCACCGUACGAACAUAAAUUAUUCAAAACAUUCUUGAAAUUGUAACGCGAUACCGAUCGUCUACUCUUUUCCUCCUGGUAAAAGCCAAGUUUUGUUUCUUUGCGCCGAGUCGGAACACCUCGUUGAAAGUAGCCGGCUUCGGAGAGCGAGUUCGCGAACUCGCACAACGGAGUUGUGCCGAUCAAACAUUCAGUAUGUAAUGCAGCUUAUGUAAUGCUUCGCCAGACGACUUCCAGAGCACACAGUUUAAUAGUCUUAUCUGCGACUUGUAAAAGUUUGUCGAUCUUCUCAGGGGAGUACACAAGAACAUUUAAUCUUACCGCGUAAGUAUGCGGUUACCGGAGACCGAAAAGCGGUCCAGUUUGCUCUUUCCCUUCCGCAUCGCUCAGAGGGAUUUUUAUUAAGUGCUCUCGCGCAGGCGGAAAGACUUGAACAUUCCCUUUCAGCCACAGAAAAUGGCUUUUGCCGGUAUUUCAGCGAUCUUAAGAGCCUUUUUACAUGAAACGAGAUUAUAAAUGGUCCGCGUGCAUUUUGGUCAUCCGUUUAGAUUUGUGUUGUUGACGGCUGUGAUAAAUUCAUUUGAACUGAUCUGCGACACUGAGCAUCAAGUGCGUCGAAACACGAUGACUAAAUUUGAUAAUUACUUGUUUAAAAAUACUGCAAGGUACACAGCAAUGUAUUACCUAUACGCGAACUAUGCGUCAGGAAAACAGCAAUCGGUUUUUCCAAUCUGCAGGCAAUUCGUAGCGAGAAACAAACAAAUUUUAAUGAAACCAGUGAUCUGCCUCAAACUACGUGUACUUCCUUUGAUGCACCAAGUCGAUGUAAUUACAAAAACUGGACGGAUGCAGUUCUCCAGCGGCCAAAAUAAACGUUACUCCACGCGACAAACAUUGAAGCAAAAAAUGUACUCCUUCGUGCUAUAGAAUCGUAAUAUGUUACAUUUAAAAUUUAAAUAGUCAUACUUAAUUAAAUAGUCGUCGUUAAUUAACAGUUUUUGCCAGAAAAGAGAAAUUCUCUUCUCCCAAAUUUCUAAAAAUUUCUGAAAAUAUUGCUUUGCUUUUCGAGUUGAUUCAACGCGAAGUUAACAAGUGACAAUUUGAAGAGGAAAUACGCGGGUUUUCACGAGGAAUUUCAGCGCAAUUUUAAUUUCGCGCACGCGAUCGAGAGAAUUACUAUACACAAGAUCGUCGCCACACGUCGAUUGCCCGCAUUAGAUUUGCAUUUCUAGUUAAAAAGCGGCAAUUUGCCGUCCGACCGUAUCUCGCUCGUGCUCCCUUGCUUUUUCUCCGACGAAGUCCCAAGGUCUCAUUACACUUAGGGAGAUCUCCGAGGACGAUGCAAUUGCGACGUCGCGCAAAGAAGCAAUCCCGAAGCGUCUGCAAUGUAAACGGCAAACACACUCUUUUUUCCCGACAUUUGUCGUUUCUUCUCCAUCCUUACAGACCUCCCAUCGUUAUUCCCUGAUGAUGUUAUUCUCUGGUGCUGCGCUUUUUAAACCGUUCCACCUUGCAAAAUCGCAAGGUGUACAGCGCUGAUGCGCAUAAAAGAUCUGCUGAGCAACCGGAAUUCACACUUGUUUCCUAAUGAGAAGAAUGUAACUGCUAUCACCAACAGUAUUAAUUACUCAUGCUUUGUAAGGAAGAUCUAUCUUGUCAAAGAAAUUUCGUCAUCUCUCCACAAAAAUCUUGGACGACUAAUUAUCUCGUGAUGUAAGAAGAAUUUUUCCUCGAAGAAUGUUCGAAAAAUAAUUUUCUACGGUGCGUUAUCUAAAAGAGAAAUUGUUCGCUGGCAUGUUCGAUAAAUAAUUAUCGUGGAACACACGGUGUAAAGCAUCUUCAUGCGCGUCGCGGUAUUUAUAAUUCAAGUUACAACAAGAACAAAACCCGCAGGACUAAGCCGAUUGGCAUUUUUGCGGUUAAUUAACUUCUCCGCGCUGUCAGCGAAUUGUUUCCCGACGUAGUAGAUAGGUAGUUGCAUAAACACGCCGCAAAUAGCGUGGCAAUUUGUCGACCCUUUGCGGCCUGCGGCGUCCGCUUUGCCUUUAUUCCAUCACCGUUCCGCCGCAUCACUCGCAGUCGCAAUCCUGCUCUCGCCCGUCGGGAUUGCUCUCUUUGCCCGGCCCUUAUCGAUCCCCUCGCGGCUUGAUUUCACGCCAAACACCGAAUCUAAAGGCGGAUCUAAGUCGAUUAACGUCCUCCUUUAGCCACUCAUCGCCUCCUCCUCUGCCUUCUAUCUUGUAGCUCCAAUAUAUCGUUACUUCUUUCGAUCGCUCGCGUCACAAUCUGUCCGCUUGUGCAACAUCAGUGAUCUAUCUCAUCGCGCGUCCUCCUUUUUUUAGGUAUUUUUAAUCGGCUUUGCUCAAUGAUACACAUAUUUCUCUUAUAGUCGACAACAAAGCGAAAUUUACAAUUUCUGAGAUCUGAGAUGAGAACUAUAAGGCUCAAGUCAUUUAAGGGAAGCACGUUAAUCAUCCAAUUCUACGAUGCAAUUAAUAGAUAAGUUCUGGGCUCGCUAGUGGUGCAAAUGAUUGAAAUUGAGUGCCAGCACCCUGGACCGGACGCGGACGAGGGCGAUUCUUGUCGAGACUCGGCGAUUGUGUAGUGGCGAUGACGACGCUUCAUUUCCUCGGCCCUCCCGAUCAAUAUCGGGUGUCAGCAGGACGGUUUUGUCGGCACAUGGCGGAGUUAGCAAGAAUUGAUUAUGGAACCAGAAAGGAGGAUAUGGCCGAGAUAAUGUGGACGCGCGGUCACCGGUCCCUUGGCGAUUUAACAAUCGACUUGUGCGCGCGCCUACGGAUCGUCGUGCCGGAUAAUUGAACUUGCGGAGCGCACACAGUUUCGCAGCAUUGCCACCUCGCAUUUGCAUUUUGAUCCGGAUUUCCACGUCUAACCGCUUCCUCCGUGAAAAUUCCGGGACGUCUUUCAGCGCUUCCCGUGCCACGUAAUUCGCUUUUCCUCCGUUUUCACGAUAAGCAAUGGCUUUUAAGAGUAACAUUGGAAGCAAUUACAACUCGGGAAUUAAACGCUGACUGCUAAAUGCAGAGGUAUAAGCAGACGCAGAGAUAUAAACUUCUAAACAGCAAAAUGUGUAUGCGUAUUUAGCUGUGUAUUUUUGCUAACACAAUCGCUGUCUUUACGUAUCAGCUUCCUUAUUAAUUAGCGGGAUGAAAAAAAAAGAAAAAUUGGAACAAAUGGCAGCGAGACAAAUAUAACGAAAAGUUACAAAGAAAGCGUUAAAGACUGCUAGAAGAAAAGAAGAAUGAAAGGAUUCGCUCGCCGUGUAACUUGAAUGAAAUCCGGAUAAUCCGGAAACAAAAACCUUCGGAUUUAACGUUUAGAUAACCAUAUAAUAGCAUUAAAAAUUUUAUAAUCAGCUUUUUUAUCUUGUUAAUGGGAUUCACGUCCGUUCUUAAGAGUUCUUUACGUAGCGAUAUAAUAACGGUGAUACAAGUAUACAAAAUACUGCGACGUGCUAGGUUGUAUCACCUAUUUUGCAUAAAUUCGCAAUUUUGAAAUUUACAUAUAUAUACUUUUUGUGUGUGCGUAAUAUAUUUUUAAGAUUCUUAGAAUUCUUUUAUGUAACGCAACGUUUGUGAUAAUUGAAGAUAAUACUCGAAAGACAGUGAACGCAUUUUUAGAAAUCUCCGAAAAAGCUGAGGACAAGUUAGACAUAUUAGAGGUUUAUAAAUUUAAUAAGUCUUUGCAAUUUUGACAAACAAAACUAGUAUUACGACGGCAUUAAAAUUUUCGAUUUUGCAGGGAAAUUGAUUAGCUCAAUGUCCGAUAACCUGGAAGUAAUACUGUUAAUUAAGGUCUCUCGAUAUUCUGACACGAAAUGAGAACCGUUAAGCUUUCAUCUUCACGUUAACAAUUAAUUAUCGCCUAAUUAUCAGUUAAUAUACAUUGUAACGAAGUUCCUCUACGUGUUAGCAGUUAUCGGAAACAAGUUGUUUUGAGCAUGCACAUCGAUAAAAUAAGAGCAAGAGAGAGAGACAUGUUCACAUAUCAACAUGUUGUGUUAAAACACAUAAUGUUUUAAGCAAUCAGUCUCUUGCGUGUAACUUUUUCCUCGUUUUAUCACGUUACAUUUAAAUGAUUGAAUUCAACCAACGAUAAUCCAAUCAUUAUAACUUCGCUAAAUAAUAGUUAUGGUAAAUUGCACGAGUAAGUUACUUUCGCGUCGCAUCGAUGAAACAAAAUUACGUGAGUCAUACCGCGGUUAGAAAUUAAUUAUUACCCGACCACGUAGUAACAAAAUUUCACGACUCCCCAUGGACGAAAAGGGCGAGCCGGCGGAAUUAAAAUUGCUGUGAAAUGACACGGUUACGUCAAGAUCUCUCCGGAUUAUCAAAGUCUCCGGGAAAUUCACCGUUAUUCUUGUGCCAUUUCUGUACAAGGAAAAUGUUUAACACUGCGAAAUGCGAUAUUCACAUUCUCGAGAGAACAUCUAUUAUACAUGUACUUUUUAACGCAGUCAGGAAAAAGCACUUUGUAAAACAUUUUUGAUACGAUGUACGCUGAAGUUUUAUUUUUCAUUAAAAAAUAUUGUAUCACAAAACUGCAAAUUCAGUAUUCAAAAGUAGAUCACAACAUCGCGAUAUGACGGUUUCAAUCUUUCUAUCGAACACACGCGUCGAUGUUGUAAUUAAUAAAACACGAUGAUAAAUUUCGAUAAAUUUGUAAGAGCCUUCGGAGAGAAAAAAGCUUUCAAGUGCUCUCUCAGCCAGAUUUAUUCAGCACGUGUAACGACGAUAACAAAGCUCGCUAAUUUAAGGGAAGAUGUAAAAAUUACCUCGAAAAAACAUCACUGCACGUAAAAUCGUGGCUGUUCAGAAAUUCACCAUGCGUUAUCAUUCCGAUAAAAAUUCAAACUUUCGUAAUUAAUAAGUUUCUCCGAUCGCGUGACGAAAGUUUGACAAUCAUCACUGAUCUCGUGAGAUUAUUCUCGCACCAUCCGAGAUUGAAUGCAAAUCGACUUAUGCUGCAAUAAUUAUAUAUCCACGCUUUAUUGUCUCCUUUCUAAUCGGAAAGAUGGGAAGUAAAUCGCAGUAUAUUUUUAAUGGCUUUUUAAGAUCCCAUUCGCGCCUUGAAGAUGAAGAUGCGUUUGAUAGUCACGCUAAGCGUGUUUAUCGGAAAAAUAACGACGAUGUAAAACAAAAAUACUGUGAAAUUAACCGAUCCUAUAUUGAAUAAACGGCCGUUUAAUGCAGCGUUAUAACGUAACUGCGAAAUUGCCUGACUCGCGUAGGAAGCGUAAACUGCAAAUUUGCGGAUAACGCGCAAAUUUUGAUCCUUCGUGUUUGCGAUGUAUCAUCAUUUACCGCAAUUAAUAUUCCGCGGCAAAUAUAUAAGUAGCUCGAA
Ooceraea biroi (clonal raider ant) is the source of this 7118-nucleotide long non-coding RNA. RefSeq lists it as uncharacterized. Lineage: Eukaryota; Metazoa; Arthropoda; Insecta; Hymenoptera; Formicidae. The record is from RefSeq and is a predicted model, not a curated record.